Small nuclear RNA from Molossus molossus (Pallas's mastiff bat), 108 nucleotides. Lineage: Eukaryota; Metazoa; Chordata; Mammalia; Chiroptera; Molossidae. The record is from RefSeq and is a predicted model, not a curated record.
GUGCUCACUUCAGCAGCACAUAUACUAAAAUUGGACUGAUACAGAGAAGAUUAGUAUGGCCCCCUGCGCAAGAAUGACACGAAGAUUCGGGAAGCAUUUCAUAGUUAU